UACGUAGGGCGCAAGCGUUGUCCGGAAUUAUUGGGCGUAAAGAGCUCGUAGGCGGUCUGUCGCGUCUGCCGUGAAAACCCGAGGCUUAACCUCGGGCUGGCGGUGGAUACGGACAGACUAGAGGUAGGUAGGGGAGAAUGGAAUUCCCGGUGUAGCGGUGAAAUGCGCAGAUAUCAGGAGGAACACCGGUGGCGAAGGCGGGUCUCUGGGCCGAUACUGACGCUGAGGAGCGAAAGCGUGGGGAGCGAACAGG
RNAcentral lists this ribosomal RNA (253 nucleotides) under uncultured bacterium. RNAcentral's name for it is "partial 16S ribosomal RNA". It matches the Rfam family "Bacterial small subunit ribosomal RNA", at positions 524 to 776 of the family's 1533-position model. The record is from RNAcentral.